This 765-nucleotide long non-coding RNA is filed under the name Struthio camelus australis. Its description in RNAcentral is "lncRNA (ENSSCUG00000018013.1)". Lineage: Eukaryota; Metazoa; Chordata; Aves; Struthioniformes; Struthionidae. The record is from RNAcentral.
CUUGGAUUAUUUUAUUUUUGUUUCUGUUUAAAAUAUGCUUUUCUGUUACUAUAGUUACUGUGUUAUGCUGACAUACAGAUGUUUUAUCAUCUUUAGGAAACGAUUGCUGCUUCAAACCAUCAAAGCCAGAGGUAGAGAGGGGAUACAAAUGUGUAGCAAGAGACUUUGGAAAACCACAGAAGAAACCUGAGUGCAGGAUAGGAAGAGACACGGCUGGAUGCAGAGGCCUGGCAAGAAGUCAUGCUUGCUAGGCUUGUAACAGAGAGCAGGAAGAAACAGAAAGACAGUUGGAUAUUGGGAAGCCUGUGAUGAGAAGAGUUCAGCAUGUUUUGGAAGAAGUUUGGAUUUAUUAUGCAGCAGGAGCCUUGCCUUCUCAAUGUGAUUUUCCCAUCUGUCUUGCUCAGCAGUGUUACAAUCUCAGCUGAUCCUUGUGUGCAGUCAUCAGUCAGAUCAUACUGCAUAUUGAUACAGUUAUUAAGGAGCCCUAUUGAUGUCACUAAUAUUUACAUUCUGCACUGAGAUACUGACCUGAGGUAAUCAAGUAAAGAUAUUCCUCUCAAAGAGACCCUUCCUUUAUUGCAACGGCCGGGCAAUGCUGAGAGGCACAGGCUGGGACUCCUCACUCAGGACCCAUCAAUCGCUCUGCUGGCUGGCAUGAAGGACCAGAGGAAGAAAGGUAAGAGCCCUGCUCAGAGGAAGACCAGUCAUGCCCCCCCCCUUCCUAUCUUCCCAUCCACUCUGAGGAUGUGGCCCCUCAGCCUCUAA